Manis javanica (Malayan pangolin) is the source of this 1946-nucleotide non-coding RNA. The record is from RefSeq and is a predicted model, not a curated record. Lineage: Eukaryota; Metazoa; Chordata; Mammalia; Pholidota; Manidae.
CACAGUCUUUCCUUUUUUUUUACUUCAUAAAGGAUUCUCCAGCUUUCCGGUGUACAAACAGUGAAGUUACAGUUCAACCCAGUCCCUAUCUGAGUUACCGACUGCCCAAGGAUUUUGUAGACCUGUCUACUGGAGAAGAUGCUCACAAACUCAUAGAUUUUCUUAAACUGAAAAGAAAUCAGCAAGAGGAUGACUGAGUAGAGCCUCUAGUAUUGGAGACGGAGUUAAAGAGGAAACCACCAAGGCUCCAGGAAGCUGCUCAGAGUUCACAGCUUCCUGUGAAUCUAGUUGGGUGGGGUGGGGUGGGCAAUGUGGAUCCUGAUAGCUUUUUAUAUCCAUGUAUAUUAAGCUGGAAAAAAAUGGAGGGGCUUUGCUACUUGUGAAAGUAACAAUAAAUAGAUCUUCAACAUAGGAAACCAUACUGUUCUGAUGAUAAAAUACUUUCUAGGAAAUACCUUGGUCUUUUGCACAGGCUAUUUAGUUUUAUGUUUUUUGUGCUAUUUUUACACCUGUUAGGUGAUGGGCAACUUUGUUUAUACAAAAAUGGGUUCUUUCUUAGUCAUUGGUUUUUUUCAUUGAAAAAAUAGAACCUUAUAUUACUACAGAAAAUAUUUUUCCUAUUUUGAGGACUUCCAUAUAAUUUUUCUGUCAUUUUAGCUUUGGUUUGCGCAUAGCUAAAAUAAUGCAGACUUUUCAAACUAACAAGUCACCAUGAAAAUUCAGUAUAUUAUAACUACUUAAUAUAUGACUUAAUAAAACUGUCACAGAUUUAAUUAUAAUUUGGUCUUUUAAAAAAGUACUGGAAUAUUUGGGAGGUAGAGUCCCUUUUGUAGGCCACCAUGUUAAUGACCUUUCCUCAGUACCCUAAUUGAUGACAGUGAUAUCUAAUUUACUCAGCACUUACUAUAUGCCAGCAUCCUCUGCUAAAUGCUCUUUAUGUAUUAUUUUAUGUCAUGGAGCAGUUCAAAAGAUAUAGUCAUUACAGGUUCCCAGUGUAUCUAAUGUGGUAUCAAAGAAUAUUUACUAGCUGGAGGUAUGAUUCUCAAAUAGAGCACACAGGUAUGUUCCAUAGGAAAAUAGAAUUGGAGCCAAGUUUCCCCUUUCUGUGUAUAAUGAUUUCAGACUCUAGCUUUUGCUGUGAUCUCUUGGGUACAAUCACUUGAUACUAGUAUUUUAAAUAUAAAGUUCAAGUUGUGAUCUCUGUAAUCAGUAUAUCAGAUGCCAUUUCUGAGGCCAGUUAUUUGAGGAAUAGGUACUUCAAAAAUAUUUCUGUUUUUAAAACUGCUUAUGGGUGUCCACUAACUCAUAUUAUGAGUUGAUUUAAGUUUAGAUCUGGAAGCUGGACUUCACUAGCUUAAACAAAAGUAAAUGAAUUUAUACCAAUUGGAAAUAUUCAGACUAUGUAUAAUAAAAAGACUCGAGCAAAAUUUAGCAAAUAUUUCAUAAACAGUAUACUUCUUAGUGUAAAACUCAUUAAAUUUUGCAUUAAUUUUCUUGAAGGUAUAUUGAGUUCAACUCACUUUUUAAGAUAUGAUUUUGUUAUUAUUUCCUUCAUAUAUUUAAUUUUAUUUGGUUAUCCUGGUGUUAAAUACAGGACAAUAUGCAGGAAAUAGUUUAAAUUCAGAUACUUCUUACUCCUGCCUAAAGAUUUGUUUUGAAUUAAUCUAUUUUAUCGGUAUUAACUGUUCUUUCAUUGAGGUACCGCAGGUUUGUGCUUGAACUUAGAAAGUGAAUACAUACGUGAUUCCUUAGUUUGGUCCAGAAAUCCUGCCUCAAGAGAAGACAUUACAGCUGUUGAUUUUGACAGGUUAGGAUAAACACGCUUACUUUGUCCUGCAGGCAGUGGCAUGUAGCAUGAGGCCUCCAAUACAGCUGACUUUACCAAAAGUUCUGUUUUUAAGUCUCUUUGAUAUGUAUUUUCUGAGUUCAUAAAAAUUUCCCAUCUA